AUAUUGCAUAGCAACUUGAAAGGGGGAGCCGGUCGCGUAGGAGGUGAGAGCCAGCCGCAAAAAUCCGUUCGGCGGCAUUUUCUCUUCAAACCCGCCCGGUCGGAUGUGGCAUUUGAAGAAAGAAGGCGUGGGUCAAUAAUCAACCCGCACUUUCUCCUCCAAACUGCUGAUGCGACUCUCACCGCCUUCUCAGCUAAGCCAGCUGCCGGGAAGGCCAGCUCUCCGCGAGAACCUGCCGGGGGAAGGGAUUCUCUGGGCCAAGGGGACCGAGGGCGCCCGAGCAAGGGCUGGGACGCCCUGAAAGCAUACCUUUCCACUGGCGCCAAGACCCUGCCGGGCAAAACGCGGGGACCGGACCUGAGGAGCCGUGGGAGCCCAGGGAGAUCUGGGGCGGGAGCUUCGUUCCGGCCAGGGCCUCUAUCCGCCCCGAUACGUGGCUCCUGGGCCGCGGGCCUCAGCAGGCAGAAGUGGGGCUCCGACCUCAAGACGAAGGUCCGGCGUCCUGGCACGCAGAUGGUCGGCGCCCCAGCCUCAAGCCGCUCUGCUGAAAUCCAAAGGACUGGCUUUGGAGCAAGCGUAGGCGAGAUUAUUUUAAAAUAAUAAUUUAUAUUGGCGGAAGGUUUUUAUUUGUAGGUUUGCUAUUGGUGUUUUGUUUUUUAAGCGAAAAUGCCGAUUGUUGAUUUCCACCUCCAGAAAUUACCAGCCGCCGCCGCUGCGCCCUUUCUAGACAAAUCCCACAGCAGUUCACCCGGCUCCGCCAAAACCGCAGAGCUUUUAUUUACUGAGAGGACCCCUUGGUUCCACCAAUUCCCCCAAAUCCCCGUGGCUCCCGAUCUCUCAUCCAGGGGGACUAGAAGAAAAGAUUUUCUCAGCAUUAGAAGAAUACUUGGAGCAGCAAAGGUGCCCGUGGUGCCUUUCUACCAUUCAAGAGGUGUCCUCCUGAAGGCGUCGGAGAGGGCCUCUGGCGGUUCCAAGGCUGCGCAGCCGGGGAGGAAGGAAAAGAAAACGCCAAGACAUAGAAAACCAUGCUUUUCCCGUAGGAAGAACCGAUGAUGAGCCCUGAUGAAAGAAGGGAGAAGACCCGCUGUCUGCGAAGGCCUAAAGGUUAGAAAUACAGCAAUUUUUCUCAUGCCGAAGGAAAGGCAAAAUGAUCUAAGAAACUGCAAGGCAGUGAUACACGUUUUCCUCAACAGCGAGCUGAGACUGGCGACAAUUUCUUAACUCACAGCCUCAGCAGUCGCCUCAGUCGACAAAGAGAGCAGCCCACGCAGCGGCCGCCGCGCCCGUGCCCGUGGCCUUUACUUGCUUUUGCCCUGAAGUUCAGUGUAGUGGUUUGUUUGGGGCUUGCAGCAAGAAACAAACACACUCCCCCUGACUCUCCACAACCCAUCUUUGCCUUCUGCAACCGCUUCUCCUGCCCAUCGCUGGCUUUGGGGUAGGCUCUUUGUCUGCCUGAGGCCCCGCACUUGCAGGGCAAGAAGCUUAAAGGAAUCCAACUCCAAACUCCUCCGAAGUUAAAUAUUGACCAGAACCUCUUUCAACAGGCCGCGGUUGCCAGGAACCGUGGAGAGCCAACUCCUCCCAACCGCCCUGGUGCAAAGUCCCACGCGGCGAAGAGUUUUAGAGCAGCGCUUACCUAGAAAGAUGUUUAAAUCUGAACCAGGAAUUGUCUCCAACUCCAGGCGCUCAGGGAAUCGCCUUUUCCGGUGUCCAGGCGCUCUGCAGACAAAUAAACAGCAGAAGGUGAAUGGCGGCUGCGAGGGAAGGGAGUUGGAGGCCGGGAGUGGGAAGCGCGGCUCAUGCGGGCGCCAAGGUGGCCCUGGGGGUGACGCGAACACCAAGGAGUCGCCAGGGCACUCGUCCGUGUGGCGCACUCAUUGCUCGAAAUGUUCCAGUCUACAAAUGGCCCGAAGAUGGUGAUUUAUUUUUGUAAAAUAAAUACAUACUCCAUCUCCACACCCAUACUUUCUCCUUUUUCUUUCUUUUUUUUUGGGGGGGGGGUGGGGAAGGAAAGAAAAUGAAGCAAACAGAGGAAGCUGAGAAGGUGGAAGUGGCUUUGCUGGUGGUGUGGGCUGCUUUCAGAGAGCUCUCUCCUCAGGCACCACAACUUGGAGAAUGUGAAUGCUCGCCUUAUUUUCCUUUCCUAACAAAAGGAAGCCUUGUCUGGGAGCAUUCAAUCACGGACUCUCCUGAAACCUCACUAAUAUGUGUUCAUUUCUGUAGGCGCGAAAUCAGACCCGGGUUCAGUCCACUGGCCAGAGGCAGUCUUGGGAGGUUUUGUGUUCUGGUUUAUUCAAUUCUGGGUGCGUUCCUUCUAGGUCCUAGUGGGCUGGCGGGGCUACCGCAGCACCUAGUCCCUCAGGGCAGACCAGCUAAGGCUGCUGGAAACUGGGAGGGACGCCGGCUGGUACAAUACCUGCUCAGGGGCCCUGCUCCUGCCUGGCCUUGCGCAGCG
This 2455-nucleotide non-coding RNA is filed under the name Pongo abelii (Sumatran orangutan). The record is from RNAcentral. Lineage: Eukaryota; Metazoa; Chordata; Mammalia; Primates; Hominidae.